UAUUAUGACGAGUUUGGAGUUUAACGGUGUAGAAGAAUCUAAAUUUCUUCAAAUUUUGAUAGAAAAUACUUUAAACUAUAUAGAUUAAGGUUAAUAUUCUUGAUCUUGAAUUUAAAAGUCCUAUGCUCAAAUUUUAAAGAUUAUUCAAUUUCCACCGUCCAUUUUGAUAUGAUUUAUUUACUAAGUAAAAGAUAUCGAAAAAAACUAAAAUUUUAUUUCUAAGAAAUUCAUAUACCCUAGAUCAUAUUUAACGAUAUGGAUCAUUGAUUUGAACGCCCUAAGAUCGAAAACAAACACUAUAGUACCGAAGCUCGGUACUAUAGAUAGUAUAGUAGCCUAAUUCUAUAUAUAUAUAUUUCUUUCCAAUCUUUUUAAAUUCUUAUUUAUAAGUCAGCUCGUAUUGGGCGCGUGUUCGACUCAUUAGUAAACGAGCUGAAUACGAGCCAAAUUUU
RNAcentral lists this long non-coding RNA (452 nucleotides) under Ananas comosus (pineapple). Its description in RNAcentral is "long non-coding RNA (ACOM_LNC029641)". The record is from RNAcentral. Lineage: Eukaryota; Viridiplantae; Streptophyta; Magnoliopsida; Poales; Bromeliaceae.